CACGCUGUAAACGAUGGAUACUAGGUGUGGGAGGUAUCGACCCCUUCCGUGCCGGAGUUAACACAAUAAGUAUCCCACCUGGGGAGUACGGCCGCAAGGCUGAAACUCAAAGGAAUUGACGGGGGCCCGCACAAGCAGUGGAGUAUGUGGUUUAAUUCGAAGCAACGCGAAGAACCUUACCAGGGCUUGACAUACCGAUGACCGGGUUAGAGAUAACCCUUCCCUUCGGGGCAUCGGAUACAGGUGG
Molecule: ribosomal RNA, 247 nt
Filed under: uncultured Oscillospiraceae bacterium
Lineage: Bacteria; Bacillati; Bacillota; Clostridia; Eubacteriales; Oscillospiraceae
Description: partial 16S ribosomal RNA
Rfam family: Bacterial small subunit ribosomal RNA
Source: RNAcentral